Molecule: non-coding RNA, 117 nt
Filed under: Gorilla gorilla gorilla (western lowland gorilla)
Lineage: Eukaryota; Metazoa; Chordata; Mammalia; Primates; Hominidae
Source: Rfam by way of RNAcentral
GCCUGGCGUGGUGGCGCACGCCUGUAAUCCCAGCACUUUGGGAGGCCGAGACGGGUGGAUCACCUGAGGUCAGGAGUUCGAGGCCAGCCUGGCCAAUAUGGUGAAACCCCAUCUCUA